GGAGCCAGCUAGCCCGGGCUGACUUCCUCCAUCUCCCAAACACGUUCCGUACAAUGUGCAUCUCCCCAACGAUUAUCACAAAACUCUGUGUCUUGUGAAAGAGACCCAAAACAAGGCUGCAUCGGCCGGCGCAAGGGCUGACUGUGCCACUGCUGGUGAAGACGAUUCUGAAGAUCUUGGAUCGGGCAACGGAGUAUGCGACGGGAGAGCUGCUGUCGUUGUGCUAGAAUACCUCGCCGCUGAGGUGUUGGAGCUCGCUGGAAACGCUGCAAGGGACAACAACAAGAACCGCAUUAUUCGUGGCCCGAGUGCCCUUUUGAAUUUCACUUCUUUUUUUUCUUUUUUUUUUAAUUUUCUUAAUCUCUAAUUUUUCAGUUUUUUAGUAGGAAAAAAAAAAGUAAAAAGGAAAGUAAAAUUGAGGUUGUAGAUUAUUGGUAUAUAAAAAUAUUGUAAUUUUUUGUGUAUUUUGUAUGUAAGAAUUUUUGUUUAGAUUAUUGGUAUAUAAAAAUGUUGUAAUUUUCUGU
Molecule: long non-coding RNA, 524 nt
Organism: Pyrus x bretschneideri (Chinese white pear)
Lineage: Eukaryota; Viridiplantae; Streptophyta; Magnoliopsida; Rosales; Rosaceae
Exons: 2
Source: RefSeq, a predicted model, not a curated record